RNAcentral lists this ribosomal RNA (781 nucleotides) under Staphylococcus aureus. Its description in RNAcentral is "partial 23S ribosomal RNA". It matches the Rfam family "Bacterial large subunit ribosomal RNA", at positions 384 to 1167 of the family's 2925-position model. Lineage: Bacteria; Bacillati; Bacillota; Bacilli; Caryophanales; Staphylococcaceae. The record is from RNAcentral.
AAUGUUGUCUCUCUUGAGUGGAUCCUGAGUACGACGGAGCACGUGAAAUUCCGUCGGAAUCUGGGAGGACCAUCUCCUAAGGCUAAAUACUCUCUAGUGACCGAUAGUGAACCAGUACCGUGAGGGAAAGGUGAAAAGCACCCCGGAAGGGGAGUGAAAUAGAACCUGAAACCGUGUGCUUACAAGUAGUCAGAGCCCGUUAAUGGGUGAUGGCGUGCCUUUUGUAGAAUGAACCGGCGAGUUACGAUUUGAUGCAAGGUUAAGCAGUAAAUGUGGAGCCGUAGCGAAAGCGAGUCUGAAUAGGGCGUUUAGUAUUUGGUCGUAGACCCGAAACCAGGUGAUCUACCCUUGGUCAGGUUGAAGUUCAGGUAACACUGAAUGGAGGACCGAACCGACUUACGUUGAAAAGUGAGCGGAUGAACUGAGGGUAGCGGAGAAAUUCCAAUCGAACCUGGAGAUAGCUGGUUCUCUCCGAAAUAGCUUUAGGGCUAGCCUCAAGUGAUGAUUAUUGGAGGUAGAGCACUGUUUGGACGAGGGGCCCCUCUCGGGUUACCGAAUUCAGACAAACUCCGAAUGCCAAUUAAUUUAACUUGGGAGUCAGAACAUGGGUGAUAAGGUCCGUGUUCGAAAGGGAAACAGCCCAGACCACCAGCUAAGGUCCCAAAAUAUAUGUUAAGUGGAAAAGGAUGUGGCGUUGCCCAGACAACUAGGAUGUUGGCUUAGAAGCAGCCAUCAUUUAAAGAGUGCGUAAUAGCUCACUAGUCGAGUGACACUGCGCCGA